RNAcentral lists this ribosomal RNA (459 nucleotides) under uncultured bacterium. RNAcentral's name for it is "partial 16S ribosomal RNA". It matches the Rfam family "Bacterial small subunit ribosomal RNA", at positions 338 to 795 of the family's 1533-position model. The record is from RNAcentral.
CCUACGGGUGUCAGCAGUGAGGAAUAGUGGUCAAUGGGCGCGAGCCUGAACCAGCCAAGUCGCGUGAGGGAAGACGGUCCUAUGGAUUGUAAACCUCUUUUGUCGGGGAGCAAAAGACGCCACGCGUGGCGUUCCGAGAGUACCCGAAGAAAAAGCAUAGGCUAACUCCGUGCCAGCAGCCGCGGUAAUACGGAGGAUGCGAGCGUUAUCCGGAUGUAGUGGGUUUAAAGGGUGCGCAGGCGGAAGAUCAAGUCAGCGGUAAAAUUGACAGGCUCAACCUCUUCGGGCCGUUGAAACUGGUGUUCUUGAGUGAGCGAGACGUCUGCGGCAUUCGUUGUGUAGCGGUUACAUGCAUCGAUAUCCCGCAGAACUCCGAUUGCGAAGGCAGCAUACCGGCGCUCAACUGACGCUCAUGCACGACUGUGUGGGUAUCGAACAGGAUUAGCUACCCUGGUAGUC